GAUCUUUGAAAGUUAUGGGGAUCAGACCGGAGAGUGAAACUGCAGGUCAUAAUCACCAGGAGGAUCAAGUUUGAUGAUUCAACUCCACCUUGAACUCUUUAUCUUCGAAAGCCAUUGGCAUUUUACUCCCACCUCAUAACAGGUGAUAGAGCGGUGCAGCUGUCUCACAGCUCUUGAUCUAGGUUGAAUCUUCUAGUGUGGAGUUUGCAGGUUUUCUCUGUGACUUUCGUCCCACAUCCUAAAGCAGUGUGAGUGGUAGGUUAAGUGACCACUGUAAAUUGCCCCUGAUGGACGUAGAUUGUUUGAUUAGGGAAAUGAAUGGCUAAAUGGCAUUGCUCUCCGAGCUGACACAGACUUGGUGGGUUGAAUGGACGUUCUAUGUUUGUGUUUUCAGGGGAAAGAUGGAGAAAAAAAAGACUUUAAAACAUUUCCAGCCACUGUGUAUAAAUUGUCUGCUUCGGGCGAGAGUCAGUGAAGAAUGAUUAAAACCUGUUGGACACUCCAUGGCUUCACAAUCCGACAGCCUGCGAAAGUCCUUUGACUAUUGCACCCCCACCGAUACAUGAUUCGGUUUACAAAUCAUAAUUAUGGUAAUAACUUCAGGCAAGACAUUUCCGGUCCAUCCAGCUCAAUAAUCCAUGCUUUCCAUUUUUAAAAAUAAUUCUGCCGCCCUAUUGGGAAGAAAUUUCAAUUUUCCUAAUGGAUCUAUCUGUUACUUGCUUGUUCCUCCAGCUCGACAACAAUUCUGUCAUUCAAAACUAUACCAAGAGGUGGCAGUGAGAACUUUGAUUCAUCAGUUCGACAAGCAAAGAUAUAUUAGAAACAAUUGGUUUUGUAACUGAAGUCACAGACAGUAUAGAUCUGGCACCUUUGUAGAUUAUUCAAGUCUUCUGUAAUUUAUAUCAAUUACCAAGGUUCCAUUACCUUGGAGGUGAAUUCCGAGUCGUAAUACGAAGACUGUUCGACCAAAUAUUGAGGCAAGAAAGAAACAGCAGCUUCAGAUGCAUGUUUCCCGCUUGCAGGGGGCCGCAUCUCCUUGCUCUGUGACAAUAGCAGGGUCGGCGGCGUGAAUGCCUGUACUGGUCGGCGGUGACUGGUCAGUGAGGGGGUGGGGGGUGACGGUGCCGGUAGAGAACGUUUCAAGCCACUGGGCUGUCUGGAGCGGCCUGGCCAAUGUUCUGCCCCCUAGACCACAAGCUCCCAAUCAUGGGAGGAACGUAGGCAUUCACCCGUGCACCGUGGAGGAGAGGGGGGAAGCUGGCCUGUAAGUGCUAAAGGCUAGCUUUACAAUUGCUGCUGGCAAGUGACAAUGUUGGGCGGGCUAUCCAUGCGGGACGAUGAAGUUAGGUUCAAGCAAAUCGCAGGGACACUGCGGAUAAAGCUGGUCUGCGGUAAGGAAAAGAUUUAAUGGGAAAUGCUCGGCAUUCUUCUUCAAAUGGCAACAGCGACGCCAGCGUCAGGUUUGAACAGCAGCCGAGCCGGGAUGUUCCUGAUCGCUUUUGGACUUUUGCUCCAGCUCUUUUUCUGCCAUGCGUUGGCUGACUCUACCUUCUUGGACAAAGCUUUCUCAUUGCAAACAGCAUUGGCACCAGUGGAACACAAGAAAAGAAGCAUUAACAAAUGCUGCCUUCUGACCCCUCCACCACCUCCAAUGUUUCCACCACCUGCCUUCAUGGAAAUUAAAAGUCUACAAGAAGAUAAUUUGCAAAACUUACCCCUGGAAAUAAAGCCAACCGAACCUUCAUGUAAAGUAACAGGUAUAAUUGGUCCUCCUGGGCCUUCAGGUCCCCAGGUAAGAAUAAUAAACAUUUUGAGAUGAAUAAGGUCAUUUGAAAAUCAAUCUUUUGGUCUAAAUUUAUAUUAAAU
Molecule: RNA transcript, 1866 nt
Organism: Leucoraja erinaceus (little skate)
Lineage: Eukaryota; Metazoa; Chordata; Chondrichthyes; Rajiformes; Rajidae
Gene name: acetylcholinesterase collagenic tail peptide-like
Exons: 4
Source: RefSeq, a predicted model, not a curated record